CCUACGGGUGGCAGCAGUGAGGAAUAUUGGUCAAUGGACGAGAGUCUGAACCAGCCAAGUAGCGUGAAGGAUGACUGCCCUAUGGGUUGUAAACUUCUUUUAUAUGGGAAUAAAAUGUUCCACGUGUGGGAUUUUGUAUGUACCAUAUGAAUAAGGAUCGGCUAACUCCGUGCCAGCAGCCGCGGUAAUACGGAGGAUCCGAGCGUUAUCCGGAUUUAUUGGGUUUAAAGGGAGCGUAGGUGGAUUGUUAAGUCAGUUGGGAAAGUUUGCGGCUCAACCGUAAAAUUGCAGUUGAAACUGGCAGUCUUGAGUACAGUAGAGGUAGGCGGAAUUCGUGGUGUAGCGGUGAAAUGCUUAGAUAUCACGAAGAACUCCGAUUGCGAAGGCAGCCUGCUGGACUGUAACUGACGCUGAUGCUCGAAAGUGUGGGUAUCAAACAGGAUUAGAUACCCUAGUAGUC
Molecule: ribosomal RNA, 460 nt
Filed under: uncultured bacterium
Lineage: Bacteria
Description: partial 16S ribosomal RNA
Rfam family: Bacterial small subunit ribosomal RNA
Source: RNAcentral